GCUAAAAAGUGCUUGGAUGCUCCCUGUCAAAUCGAGCACUCGUUUUUCGGCCGUUGGAUUCGUCCUGGACAGAUCGAUCUCGCGCCGCGAAGUCCGACCGAAAAGCACCUGCGUCUAGACAAAUCUCCACCUAGAUCCUACGUGGCACGUGUCGUGUAGCUACCGGUUUGAGUCCCGCACCCUUCUCUCUCUGCGGGGUCGCUGAAGCCGUUCCCCAUUUUCUCCUCUCCCAUUCUCAGCGCGCUAGGGUUCCAUGGAAAUUUCUGUGGCGGAGGUCAACGGCGACCGUCCUGCUUGCCGUCGGAGGACGAGGGUGCGCGGGCAGGAAGGCUAGCUCGACGGCAAAGGGCGAGCGGCGAGGUAGUGCGGCCUGCUCUCCAUCGGAGAGCGAGGUUUCCGGUCGGGCGACGAGGUUGAUUUGGGCGUGGAGGUCGUCCUCGAUCGAUUUUCUCGUCGCCGGACUGCGGGAGCAUGCAGGAGGAAGGUUCGCUUGACGGCGAAGGGUGGGCCGCACGGUACAACAUCGUGCUCUGCAUCUGGCAUCGAGGUUUCCGCUUGGGCGGCGGGUGACGAAGUUCUGCCAAGGAUUCUGACCACGUUGAGUUCCAGAGGUAACUCCAGUGCAAAUCCCCUUUCAAUCACGUUAUAUUCUGCUGUGUUGAGGAGCAAUUCAUGGCAAUGUCUGCAUUAAUUUCAGUUUGGAUUUAUCUGCUGGUGUCUAUGUCCUGUUCGAUUGUGUCUAUGGAUCCCUAAUGUUGGCUUGAACCACAAUGAAGUAGAUCUCCGGUUAUGUUCAUGGCGCUAUGCUAUGAAUGAUUUCAUCCCGCGUGAGGGAUUUCUGUUUGGCAGAAUUAGUUCAGUGGUCCAAUUUAGGGCUACUUUGUUGUUGUAGCAUAUGCUGUUACUGAAGUUAUAUGAUGGCUGAUGGGGAAAUAGAACAUGUAUCACUAGUGGUUUCCCAUGUACUUUCAGCGGGAAGUCAUUUUAUCUGCUUAGUUGCAGGGUUAACAGGUUGCGAUGCGGGCAGAAUUUUCUCACUAGUCAUACACUAAUUCCGAUCAGAUUUCACUAGUCAUGCACUAAUUCUGCUUACUAUAGUUUCGUGUUUGCACACAGAUUUGGGACACCGCUUGCCACCCCAUUUGGUAGGAUCGAGUUUGAACUAGUUCAUGUGUUACUGCUUUGUAAAUUGCCGAUGGACUGGUAAUUUGGAUAGAUUUUUUUGCUGGCAUUAAAUGUUGUAAGCUGGACACUCAUGUUAAUUUGCAAGUUGACAUCAUAUAGAUAGGUUUGUUUUGUUGUCAACAUUUUCUUAAGUUGGCUUCGGAACACGAUUAAGUUGGUUUCAUAUAAACUAAAUUGGCUUCUGAACAUAGUUAAACUAUUUCCCGGAUACUACUCUUUUCAAAUCUCUGUCAACAUGCUUAAGUUGGUUUCAUUUACACAAUUAAGUUGGCAUAUGAACAUGGUUAAUUUGUUUCCUGAAUACAACUAUUUUCAAACCUCGGCAUACCGCAUACAUGGUUAAGUUGGUUUCAUGUAAUCAAUUAAGUUGGCUUCUGGACAUGGUUAAUUUGUUUCAUGGAUACAACUAUUUUCAAAGCUCUCCAUCCAUGGUUAAGUUGGUUUCAUGUAUAAAAUUCAGUUGGUUUCUGAAUUUGGUUAAUUUGCUUCCUAAAUACAACUAUUAUUUCAAAAUCUUUGUCAAUAUGGUUUUAGUUGGUUUCACAUAUGAAAGUAAGUUAGCUUCUGAACAUGGUUAAAUUGUUUUUCCUGAUUACAAAUAUUUUCAUAGCUCCGCCAACAUGCUUAAGUUGGUUUCAUGUAUUCAAUUAAGUUGGCUUCUGAACCUAGUUAAUUUGUUUCGUGAAUAAACUAUUUUCAAAUCUUUUCCAAUUUUUAUUAUUUUUCACCUAUAUGUGUAUUCCAGCACGCCCUUCUUAGACAUUUUUAACUAAUGUAUGGUUAAGUUUGGUUAUCCUGCAUGAUUAAGUUGAUUAUAUUAUUUGGUCGCGUAUGACUUUUCAUCUACAUGAAGAAUGUCUGCUGCAGAGUUUGCUGAAUAUUUCGCUGAACUACAGACAUGCAUUCGUCUUGGCUAUUGCGACUUCUAUAUGAUGGAAAUGGCUGAAUACAACUAUCUAUUGUUAUGAAUUCUAGAAUUUACAUAAUUUAGAUUCGGCUGUUGUGACCUCUCAUGGCUCUGAUCUGAUGUUCUCUUGUUCUUAUUGUUGCCUUCUUGAUCUUGUAGCUUACACGGAGUUAGUUAAUCUAGGAUUUGGUAUUUUACCUAUAUCUGGUCAUGUGAUAUCAUCCCUUUCCUAAAUUUUGUUCUGAUCACUAAUUUUGCAAGUGUUUGGUUAUAUGCUUUACUGGCUUGUGAUUGUUCAUGUACAUGAAUAUUGUUGUUGGAAGAACAUCAUGGCAUGCUAUGCUGAUCUGUAGACUCUGCCUCGCCAAUGGUGAACGCCCUCGGUGGGAGGGCCCUGAUGGUGAGGCCCCAGCGUGGAGGCCACCGUCGCUGCUCUUCACAUCCCGUUGCGGUGGCCAGUGCCCUCCCACACGCUCCUCCGUAAGGCGGCGGCAGCACAAGGGUGAGCAAGCUUCGGGCGAAGGCGGCGGUCGGCCACAAACCUACUCGGUUUUUUAAAGAUGACUAAGCAGAACCUGCGUUUACCAGAAGUCUGACAAAGCAUGGGAUCAAUGGAGAUGUAGAGGAGGAAGAAAAGCUCGACUUCUUAUUGCAGACCAUAUAUCUAGACGAGAGGGAAAGGUGAGAGAAAGAGAGAUGGGGGUGCGAUCCUAACUGUGAGCUGGUACAUAUAGACUUGGUCCCCUCCUA
Molecule: long non-coding RNA, 2842 nt
Organism: Lolium rigidum
Lineage: Eukaryota; Viridiplantae; Streptophyta; Magnoliopsida; Poales; Poaceae
Exons: 2
Source: RefSeq, a predicted model, not a curated record